This 585-nucleotide ribosomal RNA is filed under the name uncultured bacterium. RNAcentral's name for it is "partial 16S ribosomal RNA". It matches the Rfam family "Bacterial small subunit ribosomal RNA", at positions 355 to 1375 of the family's 1533-position model. The record is from RNAcentral.
UGGGGAAUUUUGGACAAUGGGCGAAAGCCUGAUCCAGCAAUGCCGCGUGUGUGAAGAAGGCCUUCGGGUUGUAAAGCACUUUUGUCCGGAAAGAAAUCCUUGGCUCUAAUACAGUCGGGGGAUGACGGUACCGGAAGAAUAAGCACCGGCUAACUACGUGCCAGCAGCCGCGGUAAUACGUAGGGUGCAAGCGUUAAUCGGAAUUACUGGGCGUAAAGCGUGCGCAGGCGGUUUGCUAAGACCGAUGUGAAAUCCCCGGGCUCAACCUGGGAACUGCAUUGCGGACUGGCAGGCUAGAGUAUGGCAGAGGGGGGUAGAAUUCCACGUGUAGCAGUGAAAUGCGUAGAGAUGUGGAGGAAUACCGAUGGCGAAGGCAGCCCCCUGGGCCAAUACUGACGCUCAUGCACGAAAGCGUGGGGAGCAAACAGGAUUAGAUACCCUGGUAGUCCACGCCCUAAACGAUGUCAACUAGUUGUUGGGGAUUCAUUUCCUUAGUAACGUAGCUAACGCGUGAAGUUGACCGCCUGGGGAGUACGGUCGCAAGAUUAAAACUCAAAGGAAUUGACGGGGUCAUAGCUGUUUCCU